This 465-nucleotide ribosomal RNA is filed under the name uncultured bacterium. RNAcentral's name for it is "partial 16S ribosomal RNA". It matches the Rfam family "Bacterial small subunit ribosomal RNA", at positions 28 to 507 of the family's 1533-position model. The record is from RNAcentral.
GACGAACGCUGGCGGCGUGCUUAACACAUGCAAGUCGAACGGACAGGCCCUGCUUGCAGGGUACUCGAGUGGCGAACGGGUGAGUAACACGUGGGUGAUCUGCCCUGCACUUCGGGAUAAGCCUGGGAAACUGGGUCUAAUACCGGCUAGGAGCCAUUUUUAGUGUGAUGGAUGGAAAGUUUUUUCGGUGUUGGAUGAGCUCGCGGGCUAUCAGCUUGUUGGGGGGGUAAUGGGCUACCGAGGCGGCGACGGGUAGCCGGCCUGAGAGGGUGGACGGCCACACUGAGACUGAGAGACGGCCGAGAUACCGACGGGAGCGAGCAGGGGGGAAGAUUGCACGAGCGGCGCAAGCCUGAUGCAGCGAGGCCGCGGGGGGGAUGACUGUCUUCGUGGUGUAAACUCCUUGCGCUAGGGACGAAGCUUGUUGUGAUGGUACCUAGAUAAGAAGCACCGGCUAACUACGUG